Molecule: ribosomal RNA, 453 nt
Filed under: uncultured bacterium
Lineage: Bacteria
Description: bacterial SSU rRNA
Rfam family: Bacterial small subunit ribosomal RNA
Source: RNAcentral
ACAUGACAAGUCGAACGGAGCACCCUGAAGAGUUUUCGGACAAUGGAUGGGAAGCUUAGUGGCGGACGGGUGAGUAACGCGUGAGUAACCUGCCUUUCAGAGGGGGAUAACGUUCCGAAAGGAACGCUAAUACCGCAUAACGUAUUUUUACCGCAUGAUAGAAAUACCAAAGAUUUAUCGCUUAUAGAUGAGUUUGCGUCUGAUUAGCUAGUUGGUGUGGUAACGGCAUACCAAGGCGACGAUCAGUAGCCGUGCUGAGAGGCAGAACGGCCACAUUGGGACUGAGAUACGGCCCAGACUCCUACGGGAGGCAGCAGUCGGGAAUAUUGCGCAAUGGAGGAAACUCUGACGCAGUGACGCCGCGUAUAGGAAGAAGGUUUUCGGAUUGUAAACUAUUGUAGACAGGGAAGAUACAAGACAGUACCUGUAAAGUAAGCCCCGGCUAACUAUGUG